Molecule: long non-coding RNA, 500 nt
Organism: Rhineura floridana
Lineage: Eukaryota; Metazoa; Chordata; Lepidosauria; Squamata; Rhineuridae
Exons: 4
Source: RefSeq, a predicted model, not a curated record
UACACCCACCUGUGUAGACAGCAGGAUCUACAAUUAAUCUGGACUGAAAGCAGCAUGUUGAAGACAAACAUGAAGUGUUCCUUAUUGUGAAAAAAAUUCACUUUUGCACUACAAAUGGGAGAGGCUGUGUGGGCUCUGGACUGGUGCCUGGAUGCAGUGGUAGGAUGGAUGAGGGAAAAGAAGUGGAGCUUGAAUCCUGACAAGAUGGAAGCUAGAAAUAAAGAUCCUGCCCUGUAUCUAUAUGUCUACGUAGGAUCAGGAAAAUACCUAUGCUACUUAAAGGGAUCUGUUCUCUAUGAAAGAUUCCUGAAUGAGAUACAACUCUGGGAGUUGCACCGUAUGAGGCUACAUGAAAAAAUAGAAAAGAAAUUGUGAAGUCUAUGGAAGGAACCUCAAUGCAAAUGGAGAAAAAAUGUAAUCAAUUGCAUAUCAUUUGUGGACUGAUAGCAACAACAGCAGCAAAUACUGAGAGUAUUUCAUGGAUUGAUUUCCAUUCUGGA